GGGGGUUCGUGUAGCCCAGAGGGGGUCCCACUUGCUCUCAUGCCACGGGGAAGCCGGGACGGCCCUUCCGUGCGCGGGUGCGGAGUCGGAAGAAGGUGUACAUGCCCAGGAGGCACAUGGAGGAGAGGAAGUAGAGCGCGAUGCAGAGGCUGACGUCCAGGCGGGAGAAGCCCAAUCCCAACACCCGCAGCCAGGGGCUCCUCCGUAAGACCCCCCCCUCCUCCUCUUCCUCGCGGCUCUCGGGCACUUGCAGCCGCUCCCAGCCGGCGUCGUGAUGCAGGGCGACGGUGUCCCUCUUGCUGAGCCGCCGGUGCCGGCCGGCCGCCCGCAGCGCCUUGCUCUUGAAGUGCUGCUCGCUGAAGGAGUCCAGGUCCACGAUGUCCUCCCCCAAGGCCCGCAGCCGUGGGUUCCUGCGCACGAUGCUGGGACGGCGCAGCUCCGAGGAGCCUGGCCGCCCCGUCUCGCCCUCCCUGUGGGGCUUCUCUGUCUCCUUCUCUCCCUCUUCCUCCUCCUCCUUCCUCUCCUCUUCUUCCUUUUCCCGGAGGCCUGCAGUGCUCAGCCUGGCACUCGCCGCCGCCUCCUCCCCGGCCAUGGGGAUGGGGAUGGCGUGGUCCAGGUAGAGGUUGCCCAGGGAGAAGUGCUCCUUGAGGAAGCUCAGCACAGCCGCCUCGUCCCACGUGUGCACGCCCCGCUCCUCCCGGUGGCAUUGUGGACACAUGUCUGGCGGAGGCCACUGCAGCUUGGGGAAUUGGGGGUCCUCUGUGUCACCACCUGCCAGGCGUGCAUUGACCUCGUUGUGGUGGGACCAGAGCCAGAG
RNAcentral lists this long non-coding RNA (817 nucleotides) under Gallus gallus (chicken). The record is from RNAcentral. Lineage: Eukaryota; Metazoa; Chordata; Aves; Galliformes; Phasianidae.